Molecule: long non-coding RNA, 304 nt
Organism: Osmerus eperlanus (European smelt)
Lineage: Eukaryota; Metazoa; Chordata; Actinopteri; Osmeriformes; Osmeridae
Exons: 3
Source: RefSeq, a predicted model, not a curated record
AAACGGUAUACUGUACAGGUAAGACUAAAUGAUCCAGACUCACAUCAGUGAUGGCCUUCUUGGCCUUCUCCUCAGCAUUUCUGGCCUCCUGGACAAUGUCGUCCACCUCUCCCUGCACCUGAACCAAAUCUCGUCCACACCUGGGAAUGCAGCAGUCCCACUCUCUCGUUGGCGUCCACCAGCUCCUGCUCAGCCACUUUGCGGCCUCUCUCUGUCUGCUCCAGACCCACUCUCAGCUCCUCAAUCUCAGCCAACAUCAGACCGAAAAAUUAAGCCCUUGCUGUGAAAGUUAUUUAACUUUGUG